AUGACAGAAGAACGCGACCAUAACAUGGACCCAGCGGACUCAGCUCACCUCGAGAGAGAGGUGGACCUCGCUCGCAUCCUCGGACUGGUGACUCGCAUAAGCCACGCCUCGGAUUUGCAGACAGUCUCAGUCGGGUUGAAUGCCAUACAAGCCAUAUUCGACAGAAGUCCUCAACUGCGCCAGCUUUCUAUUGCCUCGGAGUUCGGCCGUUCGCUGACCCAGGCUAAGGAGGCAGUCAAAGCCCGGGAGCUGGCCCAUUUCACCCUCAUCUCCUCAUCCACACUGCCUCAGUCACAGCGAGCAAGCCCUCUCACGCCGCCGCAGCGGACAGAGCUUUCUUCAGCCCCGCUGCAGCAGCUGCAGUCGCAGCAUCGGACUCUUUCCUCCCUCACGUCUGGUUCCGACCACCCUUCACCUGCCUCGUGCCUGGCAGGAAUGUGGUCGGAGGAUGAGGGUCUGGUCACCGUUGCUCCGACACCUUCCGUUUCCUCUGCCGCUCCCGUUUCCAAGAGGAAGCGGCGUUCUCGUCGUCGCCGUCCCUCACCGCAACCCGAGUCCAGUUCCUGCUCUGAACUGUUGGACGUGGUGAGUGAACAGAACAAUUGUCACCCGGCUUCUUCCACGCUGGGAAUCUUUAGCUCUGAGCCAGUGAAUUCAGAGGCAGUUAACUUUUUGACUGUUAACUCAGGGUCUGCAAAGACAGAAACUGAUGAUCCCAAGAUGGCUGACUCUGAGGCUGCCUUUCAGGACUCUGAACAUUCUAAUGAUUUUCCUUUUGUUUCUUCGAAGUUUGAGAAAGUUCCGGUGUCAGAUGACCUUAUUUUAUUCGAGUCGAACGAAGCUUUGUGUUCAGUAACUGAGAAAGGUGUGUUUGAGUUUCAUUCUGAAAAUACUGGAGUUUCUGUUUUUACUUCUCAGCCAAGCUAUGUUGAUCCUGAGCCACCUGUUUUUGGAUCAGUUAAUAGUACAAGGAUGGCUUCGGGAGCACUAGUUAAUACUGAGCUUUCAGAUGUCAUGUGUGGAUCUGUUAUGGAAAUUUGUGACCUUGACAAUAAUAAUCUCACUCAGGAUAUUAAAAGUCCUGUCCAGAAGACUGUUUGCUGCUUCACACAAAAGACAAUCUUUCCAACCACUGAACUAAACAUGGACCGCUUAAUCUUCCAGCUAAUUCCUUUCAGCACUGUUCAGGCUACACCUCUUGAAACUGUUGUUGAUGUUGCUUCACCCAUGUGUUACGCGGCUCACCAGCCAGUUCAUUCUGAGGCUGCCUGUGAUAAACCUCAUGUUUCCAUAACCUCCCCUGAGUUAAAUUUCACAAGCCCAGAGUAUGCUCAUUCAAAGACUGUUUGUGUUGCUCAUUGUGAACUCUUCAAGACUAUGCGUUCUGUGACUGUCCAGGUUAAGAGCAACAAGGUGCCAUCUGCUGUUAACAAGCUGGCAAAAAUACUUGGUUUGAACACUGCAGAGUUGGUUGCUCAAGUUAAAGUUUCGUUUCCACGAUCAUGUCUGUACAACUCUGUGCGCCAUGCUUUUCAGCCAGUAGCCCUGGACACUGCGUGUGGAACUUCCCAGGCUGCGUUUUGUAAGACUGUGGUUAAUGUUGCUUCACACCCAGUUUCUUCAGAUACCGCUUGUAUGAUUUCUCCAGCACCUGUGACGACCCCUGAACUCAUAUUUUCUAAAACUGCUAAUGUCAGCCUGGACAAUUUAAGAAUAGCAGUUUUACCAAGGUCAGCCUGCCAUAAGUCUCGGUUUUCUAGAACCAUGUCUGGUACCAUAAACCUGGUUUUCCCUGUGACUGUUACAGCUCCUCUGCUCUGCUCUCCGCAUCCUGUUCUAGUUCCCAGGCAGACUAUGGCUCCGUUCAUCCCUGCACCCGUAUCUGCUCCUCGGGUGGGGAUGGCGGGCGCCCGGUCAUUGCCUGUGCCUGUUGUGGUUCCCUGGGUGGGGGCAACUGAGACCCCGCUGACUCCUGCACCCGUUUCAGCUCCUCGGGUGGGAGCAGCGGCGGUCCAGCUAGCUCCUGCACCCACACCGGCCCCCAGGGGUAAGGCAGCCAGAACACAGCUCUUCCCUGGACCUGUAUCUGUUCUUCAGGCGGGGAUGGCUGAUGUUCGGCCAGGCCCAGUACCCGUCCCUGUGCCCCGGAGAAGAGUUACUGAGAGUCGGUUACCCGCUCUGUUGCAAGUUCAACAACCAUCACUACACCCAGCACGACCAUCAUCACGACCACCACUACAACUUCUGUUUCAGUCAACCGCCCAGCCGGUAACUCGGCAAUUAGUGCAAGCACCGAUUCAGCUACCUAUGCAGCCAGGGGUCCCAAUUACCUCUGGCCCUACAUCAGCUCCUGCUGGAGGCUCGGGUGAGCACAUCCAGCACUCUGCGGCUCCCACGCCGCCAUCCGUCUCCGCUGGGGUUCUGGAGAGCCCGGCCAGCACUUCCUCGUCUCCGCUGGAGGGUCCAAGGGGCCCGUUCAGCCUCCUGUCUCCGCUUGAGGGUCCGAGGGGCCCGUUCAGCCUCCUGUCUCCGCUGGAGGGUCAGAGGGGCCCGUUCAGCAACCCGUCUCCGCUGGGGGUUCUGGAGAGCCCGGCCAGCACUUCCUCGUCUCCGCUGGGGGUUCUGGAGAGCCCGGCCAGCACUUCCUCGUCUCCGCUGGAGGGCCCGAGGGGCCCGGCCAGCACUUCCUCGUCUCCGCUGGAGGGCCCGAGGGGCCCGUUCAGCAACCUGUCUCCGCUGGAGGGUCCGAGGGGCCCGUUCAGCAACCCGUCUCUGCUGGGGGUUCUGGAGAGCCCGGCCAGCACUUCUUCGUCUCCGCUGGGGUUCUGGAGAGCCCGGCCAGCACUUCCUUGUCUCCGCUGGAGGGUCCGAGGGGCCCGUUCAGCCUCCUGUCUCCGCUGGAGGGUCCGAGGGGCCCGUUCAGCCUCCUGUCUCGCUGGAGGGUCCGGGGAGCCCGUCCAGCUAUCCCCACCGCUUGCAGCAGCAGCAGCUGCGGCAGCUCCACCACCUGCGGCUUCCACGCCGCCGCCUGCAGUGCCUUCGUCUCCGGCUUCCACGCCUUCGCCUGCAGCGCCUUCGCCUGCAGCGCCUUCGCCUGCAGCGCCUUCGUCUGGUCCAGCCUCCGUGUCCUCUUCCUCAUCUGGUCCAGCAUCAUCUUCAGCUUCAUCCACGUCUCCAGCGUCAGCAUCAGCUUCACUGGCUUCCGCAGCUGCCACGCUGCCGCCCGGUCCUGCCUUGCCUGGUCCGGCCUCAGCUUCACCUGGUCCAGUAACAGCUUCAGCCUUACCCACGCCGCCUGCGGCCUCCGAGCCUUCGUCCUCGCCGCCUGCGGCCUCCGAGCCUUCGUCCUCGCCGCCUGCGGCCUCCGAGCCUUCGUCCUCGCCGCCUGCGGCCUCAGCAUCUGUCCCGUCCUCGCCUGGUCCUGCAGUGGCAACUCUGCUGUCAGCGCCAGCUCGACCUACGCCUCCUCGCCUUUGUUGGCCGCUUUCCAGGCCUCUGAGUCGGCGUCAUGGCCGUCGAGGGCGGCCCCCUGAACUGUUUGCCCGUCACCGCCGUUGCCGUGCGCACGGUCGGCCACCUGAACUGCUUCCCCCUUGA
Oreochromis niloticus (Nile tilapia) is the source of this 3597-nucleotide long non-coding RNA. NCBI's taxonomy places the organism in Eukaryota, Metazoa, Chordata, Actinopteri, Cichliformes, Cichlidae. The record is from Ensembl.